CCAAGGAGUUUAGCGUGUGCGCGAGUCAUUGGGUGUCAAAACCUAAAGGCGUAAUGAAAGUGAAGGAAACAUCGCUUUUCGAGGGAGGAUGGGUUAGGUCCCUUCAUUGGGCCGGCCUCGCACUCCCGGGGCGUCUCUAUCUCAUCGCGAGAGGAGGCGCACCCAGAGCGCACACGCUGAUACCCGAAAGAUGGUGAACUAUGCCUGGCCAGGACGAAGCCAGGGGAAACCCUGGUGGAGGUCCGCAGCGAUUCUGACGUGCAAAUCGAUCGUCGGAGCUGGGUUUAGGGGCGAAAGACCAAUCGAACCAUCUAGUAGCUGGUUCCCUCUGAAGUUUCCCUCAGGAUAGCUUGCGCUCGAACGAAACGAGUCUCAUCCGGUAGAGCGAAUGAUUAGAGGCCUUGGGGUCGAAACGACCUCAACCUAUUCUCAAACUCCAAAUAGAUGAGAACCCCGGCUUUCUUGAACUCUGUUUAUGAAGCCGGGGGCUUGGAUCAGAGUGCCAAGUGGGCCAAUUUU
This 519-nucleotide ribosomal RNA is filed under the name Litomiris sp. WCW-2003. RNAcentral describes it as "eukaryotic LSU rRNA". It matches the Rfam family "Eukaryotic large subunit ribosomal RNA", at positions 666 to 1138 of the family's 3401-position model. The record is from RNAcentral. Lineage: Eukaryota; Metazoa; Arthropoda; Insecta; Hemiptera; Miridae.